Molecule: ribosomal RNA, 377 nt
Filed under: uncultured bacterium
Lineage: Bacteria
Description: bacterial SSU rRNA
Rfam family: Bacterial small subunit ribosomal RNA
Source: RNAcentral
AUACGAAGGGUGCAAGCGUUAUUCGGAAUUACUUUUCGUAAAUCGUGCGUAGGUGGUCGUUUAAGUCCGUUGUGAAAGCCCUGGGCUCAACCUGGGAACUGCAGUGGAUACUGGACGACUAGAGUGUGGUAGAGGGUAGCGGAAUUCCUGGUGUAGCAGUGAAAUGCGUAGAGAUCAGGAGGAACAUCCAUGGCGAAGGCAGCUACCUGGACCAACACUGACACUGAGGCACGAAAGCGUGGGGAGCAAACAGGAUUAGAUACCCUGGUAGUCCACGCCCUAAACGAUGCGAACUGGAUGUUGGGUGGAAUUUGGCACGCAGUAUCGAAGCUAACGCGUUAAGUUCGCCGCCUGGGGAGUACGGUCGCAAGACUGAA